RNAcentral lists this ribosomal RNA (405 nucleotides) under uncultured bacterium. RNAcentral's name for it is "bacterial SSU rRNA". It matches the Rfam family "Bacterial small subunit ribosomal RNA", at positions 11 to 420 of the family's 1533-position model. The record is from RNAcentral.
GUUUGAUCCUGGCUCAGAUUGAACGCUGGCGGCAUGCCUUACACAUGCAAGUCGAACGGUAACAGGUCUUCGGAUGCUGACGAGUGGCGAACGGGUGAGUAAUACAUCGGAACGUGCCCAGACGUGGGGGAUAACGAGGCGAAAGCUUUGCUAAUACCGCAUACGAUCUAAGGAUGAAAGCGGGGGAUCGCAAGACCUCGCGCGUUUGGAGCGGCCGAUGGCAGAUUAGGUAGUUGGUGGGAUAAAAGCUUACCAAGCCGACGAUCUGUAGCUGGUCUGAGAGGACGACCAGCCACACUGGGACUGAGACACGGCCCAGACUCCUACGGGAGGCAGCAGUGGGGAAUUUUGGACAAUGGGCGAAAGCCUGAUCCAGCAAUGCCGCGUGCAGGACGAAGGCCUCGG